RNAcentral lists this long non-coding RNA (1216 nucleotides) under Homo sapiens (human). RNAcentral's name for it is "HSALNT0361576". The record is from RNAcentral. Lineage: Eukaryota; Metazoa; Chordata; Mammalia; Primates; Hominidae.
GAGGAGGCUGUUGAAUGUCUGUGAGCAGGACAGAACAAAUUAUGGGGCUCCUCAGGCAGAAGUGUCCUGCUUUGGAUAAUUUAUAUGGCCACUCCUGUAAGAAAAGGAACAGAUUUUCAAAUCCUACUUCAUGUGGUUCCAGAAUCUCUGCUUUUUGCCUCUUUCUCAUCCUCUGUGAGUGCAAUUGUGGCUUUCCUCAUCAGGCGCUGGGCAGUAGCCCUGGGUGAGGUAGGAGGAUGUGGGUCCUGGACGAUAAACGGCUGCUCCCCAGAACCUAGAGCACUUCCGCAGCAGGGAGAGAAUUUCACAGCUCAUUGACUGCUCUGACUCCUAAUCUACACCGAGGAAACAAUGUUGCAGCUCAUCAAAUGCAAUCAGCUGCUAAUUGAAAGGAAAUGGAAUUUUACAAUUACAGGCCACCUUUCAGUGCUCAGGAUUUCUAAGCACUUCUCCCCACCUUCCUUUGCCAGCUCAGCACUGGCAGGAGCACUUGACAACCUGCUAGAGACUUCCCUAAAAGCUGCAUUUAGGACCUGGCCCGUUCUCCCCAGCUCCAGAGCAGCAGCAAAGGGAAGCAGCGUCCUCGCCAAUACCUGGGCUGUCCUUCAAGGCUCAGUGCAAGGAAAAACACCUGGGUUGGACAUCAGGUAGUGCUGACUUCCAGACCACUGAGGUCACCUGCAUAAGCGAGUCUGGCAACAAAUAAUCGUCUUCCAGAAAAUGACCAGAAACUCAGCCUGCUUUUUGUCAUUUCACCAGCCCCACCAUCUUUCCUUUAUUCUAGAGCUCCUGGCACACUUACAUGAAUCUCUUGAAAGAAGAGAAAUGAGAGCAUUCAUUCCAUACUAAUACAAUUGUGCCCUAUGGAAAGGCUUUUUGCUGGCAGACAUAGUAGACGGACCAUUUCCCAACUUCUUUUUCUUUGCCACCUUCCAGCCAAAGGUGUCCAUAUGACACAGCUCUGGACAGGAUAAUUGGAAGUCUGUUGUGGGAUUUCUGAGAAAGCUUUUGAUUUUCUGACAGAGACAUUUUUGCUUCCCCUUACCACUUCCUACUGGAUUACAGAUGUGAUGGAAAGAGCUGCAGCAGCCAUAAUACAACCAUAAAGGAGAGGAGAAGAGAAUUGCAAAGGCAUCAACCCACAUUGAAUUGAACUGCUAAGUUAACACUAGCAGUUACUUGCCUCCAGAUAUCUUGGUGUGUGAGAACAUUAAAU